CCCGCUGAACUUAAGCAUAUCAAUAAGCGGAGGAAAAGAAACUAACAAGGAUUCCCCCAGUAACUGCGAGUGAAGAGGGAAAAGCUCAAAUUUAAAAUCUGGCAGUCUUUGGCUGUCCGAGUUGUAAAUUAGAGAAGCGUUAUCCGCACUGGCCUGUGCAUAAGUCUCUUGGAAAAGGGCAUCAUAGAGGGUGACAAUCCCGUCUUUGGCACAGAUCACCAGAGCUUUUGUGAUGCGCUCUCAAUGAGUCGAGUUGUUUGGGAAUGCAGCUCUAAAUGGGUGGUAAAUUCCAUCUAAAGCUAAAUAUUGGCGAGAGACCGAUAGCGCACAAGUACCGUGAGGGAAAGAUGAAAAGAACUUUGAAAAGAGAGUUAAACAGUACGUGAAAUUGUUGAAAGGGAAACGCUUGAAGUCAGUCAUAUCCUUCAGAAAUCAACCGGAUCAAUUUGGUCUGGUGCACUUUCUGUUUGGAUGGGUCAGCAUCAAUUUUGACCAUUGGAUAAAGGCCUUGGGAAAGUGACAUCUCUGGAUGUGUUAUAGCCCUUGGUUCAGAUGCAGUGGUUGGGAUUGAGGAAUGCAGUGCUUUCAUGUGCUCAGGAUGCUGGCAUAAUGGCUUUAAUCGACCCGUCUUGAAACACGG
RNAcentral lists this ribosomal RNA (640 nucleotides) under uncultured fungus. Its description in RNAcentral is "eukaryotic LSU rRNA". It matches the Rfam family "Eukaryotic large subunit ribosomal RNA", at positions 24 to 664 of the family's 3401-position model. The record is from RNAcentral. Lineage: Eukaryota; Fungi.